Molecule: long non-coding RNA, 1273 nt
Organism: Bos taurus (domestic cattle)
Lineage: Eukaryota; Metazoa; Chordata; Mammalia; Artiodactyla; Bovidae
Source: Ensembl
UGGCAGAGGUAAGGUCCCAAGGAAAAGACCAGAAGUGCAAAGACCUCCUGAAGCCCAGGCUUGGCACUGGUACAACCUUACUCUGCCAUACUUUAUUUGCCAAACCAAGUGUCCUAAGGCCAGAAGAGACUCAAGACUAUAAACAGACACCACAUUUGAUGAGAAGGGCUGCAAAGUCACAUCGUAAAGAAUGACUAAUGAUCACUGAAAGUGAUGGAUUUGAGUUCCCUGUCUCUCCUUUGCCCUGCCACCCUCUGGAACAGGGGCUGCUGGACAACAGAGAGGAGAAAAAUAUAAAAUCACGGAGAAGAAGCCAAACCCAUGAAAAUCUACAAAUGGGUGGAUAGCCUUUGAAUAAGGAGCUGCAUCAUCUGCUCAUUACAUGAAAGAGGUGCCAGUCCCGGGCAAUAUUCUAGCCAAGACCCGAGGUCCCUCUUCAGGUGAAGUCUGCCUACAGAAGAUGCAAGAUGCCUCUCUCACCCUCUAAGUUCCGUGUGUGUAUGUACGUUUGGUCACUCAGUCAUGUCCAGCUCCUUAGAACCACAUGAACUGUAGCCCACCAGGCUCCUCUGUCCAUGGGAUUCUCCAAGCAAGCAUACUGGAGUGGGCAGCCAUUCCUUUUUCCAGGGGAUCUUCCCGACCCAGGGGUCAAACCCAUGUCUUCUUCAUUGGAGGCAGAUUCUUUGCCAUCUGAGCCACCAGCCUCCAUAAAACAGCAGCAUUCCUGGAUCCAGAAGUGUCUCAGGAAGACUGAAUACUUUUUAUUCGGUUUCUCAUUUUAUCAAGUACGAAAAAACUGAAAUAGCACUUCACCUAAAAAUUCAUGAAAUCUCUAAUUUUUGUUAACUGAUGUAAUUUUGUGUUUGAAAGUACUUUGAAUUGAAAUUUUAUCACUUGAAAGGGCUCUUUUCCACUCAUCCUCUUUGAUCACCACAACAAUCCAGUAAGUUAAGCAAAUAACUUGGAGGAAAUUGAGACAUCAGAAGAAAACGAAAUUAUCUAAGAAUUUAUUGUGAGUAAUACAGCAGAGCUGGGAUUCAUAUUCAAGUUUUCCAGUCCCAGUCAAAUAUUCUUUCCAAUCCUCCCCAUUCUAAUAAACAAAUUAAUAAAUAUUGUGAAUGUCAGAAAUUUGUCAUGUACAUGUACUCAAUUUUCCUGAAAAUCUAUUAAAUAUAUCCCACAUGACUUUCAGGCCUCUUCUUCCCCCUAUCUGUUGCUCUAACCCAAAUAAGAUGACAAAUAAGUUUGACAUUAGAGGCAUACAGUAGAAGAG